AUUAGCACCGGUUCAAACCGGUGCCAACUUGUAAAAUAAAAAAAAAAGGAUGGGGAAGGAGUUGGCACCGGUUCUCCUUAAACCGGUGGCAAAUAAGCAAGUAAGCACCGGUUCAAACCGGUGGCAUUUAAAAAAAAAACGCGAGUUUGCUGGGUUUGUUGCUUCAACCUGUUCAAUUCAACGACACUUUCUUCAUUUCUCAUGUUUGCUUCAAAAAUUCCUAGAAAGUUUCGCCCUAUUCUCUUCUCCCUCCAUCUCCAUUGAAAGGCUGUGCGAGCUUUCUCCUCUCCAUUGAAGCAGUUAAGCUAAGCGACCUUAAUUACUCACAUUGCUACUUCAAUUCUCUGCAUUUCCUCUUCCCAAACCCUUCCUCCAUUGAAGCUUCCAUUGAAGCUUCGGCCUCCUCACACACGCAGCUUGGCUGGGGUUUGUUCUGCCUCCUCACGCACGCACGCACUCAGUUCUUCUCUUCUGCCUCCCUCCAUGCAUUAUUGAAGCAGCUUCGACCUAGGGCUUGGCAAUUGCUACUUAACUACUCCAUUAAACUCGCAAGGCUCCCCCUCCAUUAAACGCACAAGGCUGCCCCUCCACAAAUGCUAAGAAAUGGGUGUCAAGGGCUUCUAGGGUAAGAUCAUCAGUUUGGAGAGUGGGCGGAAAGCAUCCUGGUAUCUUACUCUGACUGUCCUUGUUCUUGCUCACUAAUAUCAUUCUUAUCUUUUCCCUUAAUCUGGUUUUCUAUUUGUGU
Chenopodium quinoa (quinoa) is the source of this 745-nucleotide long non-coding RNA. RefSeq lists it as uncharacterized. The transcript has 3 exons. The record is from RefSeq and is a predicted model, not a curated record. NCBI's taxonomy places the organism in Eukaryota, Viridiplantae, Streptophyta, Magnoliopsida, Caryophyllales, Amaranthaceae.